CCUACGGGAGGCAGCAGUGGGGAAUAUUGCACAAUGGGGGAAACCCUGAUGCAGCGACGCCGCGUGAGUGAAGAAGUAAUUCGUUAUGUAAAGCUCUAUCAGCAGGGAAGAAAAUGACGGUACCUGAGUCAGAAGCCCCGGCUAAUUACGUUCCAGCAGCCGCGGUAAUACGUAGGGGGCAAGCGUUAUCCGGAUUUACUGGGCGUAAAGGGAGCGUAGACGGCAGUGCAAGUCUGGAGUGAAAGUCGGGGGCUCAACCCUCGGACUGCUAUGGAAACUGGAAGGCUGGAGUUCAGGAGAGGUAAGUGGAAUUCGUAGUGUAGCGGUGAAAUGCGUAGAUAUUAGGAGGAACACCAGUGGCGAAGGCGGCUUACUGGACUGUAACUGACGUUGAGGCUCGAAAGUGUGGGGAGCAAACAGGAUUAGAUACCCGUGUAGUC
This 440-nucleotide ribosomal RNA is filed under the name uncultured bacterium. RNAcentral describes it as "partial 16S ribosomal RNA". It matches the Rfam family "Bacterial small subunit ribosomal RNA", at positions 338 to 795 of the family's 1533-position model. The record is from RNAcentral.